UUUAUAUUUUACAAAGAUGUCCUUUUAUGUAAUUUUACAUGUUUUAAAUGGGUUCCAACUACUUUUGCUGAACACUCGGAUACAAAAAUAUAAGCUACGGCUUCCAGCUAGUUUUGCUGAAUAUGCCCUAAUUUUAAAAUUGGGUUCGUUAGUUUUAGGUCUCUCAUUUGAUCCUUGAAAAGAGGAUUCUCCAGGAUGAUGAGAUUAUUGAAUUGAUAUGUUCAAAUGGCUGUCAUACGGAAAUGGUAAUCUAUGAAAAAAACUUUUAGUAGAUACCAAAUGAGAUUCUGAUGUAAGAUUAUGUAAUAGGCUCCCUCUAUUUAGUGGUGUUUGCUUAUUGAUUCAUGUUUCAACCGCCUUCAAAGAGGCUACGAUCUGGGGACAACCCUAUCCCUAUGGAAAGAGAGCUAGUGUUUGUUAUAGUAAGUUUGUGUUGCUUUACUUGCUUAUACAUUAAAAUCUAAAGCUUCUCUGUGUAGUUCCUUUAGUAUCAUUUUACUACAUUAACCGAAUCCAUUUUCUAAUUUAUUCAGAUGAUUUUGGUUUCAAUCAUAUACUGUGGUUAUACAGUGGUGUUCAUUGUUGGGUUUGUGAUGGAAAAGCAAGAAACUUGAAUAAUGAACAGAAGAGAGCUACUGCUGACUAUUUUCGUGUCUACAAGGGUACGUAACAACAAUAGUAAAUCAAAGGAGAUCGAAUUCUGACUUUUUUGAGAAGAAAUUACUUUGUAGCCACCAGUUACUUAUGAUUCCCGAUGAAUAGCUUAGAGGAAAAUGGCAAGAUGAUAGGCGCUCUUCUAGUGGAAAAGAUGUUAAUGUUGUGAGAUGGGAACAAUUAAAACAGCUUCUUCAGUCUCGUUUGUUAAGGAGAUUGUCUUUUCUUUCACUUAUCCUAGGCUUGAUAUGGAGGUUUCCAAACACAUGAAUCAUUUACUGAAGGCACCAUUUUCUUCUUCUUCGAUGUUCAUCGGUGAUUUUCUUCUCCAAACUCCAUCAUAAAAGGUUGUUUCUAACUCCUUUCUUAUUUUCUGUUGUUUCUUCACAAUUUAUGUUUUUCGGUUGAUCGUUUCGAUUUAGGGUUUCCUCAUUAUCGUUCACACUGGAACGGAUAUUUGUCUUUAAGAUUCUGGUACUGUGAGUUUCUUUGUGGUUUGUUGCAGGUUGGUUCACGUGUUGCUUGUGUUGGUCGCUUGCUCUUGAACAUCUUAUUGAACUGUAGUCGGCUGAACUUCGGUUGAUUAAUCUGUUUGUCUGAAAUAACUCUCUAAGGGUCGGAUUUCAUCACCGAUAAACCCUAAGUAGAGAACGGACAAAUAGAGUCGAUCCUUCGAGGCUUCAUCCUAAUAGCACUGUGAGGGAUUUCUUGUUCCUUUUCUUAUCUCUUUUCAUAUUAUGAUUGGGAGAUCCUGGUUGUCUUGUGAACACUAGAUUUCUUGAUUGUCUGAGUCCUUCUUUGUCUGAUUACCUGUUGGUUAUUUGUUUGCCUGGUUUUUGUUUGUGAUUAAUUUGUCCUUAUGGCUGGUUCUUUUGAACCUCCUAGUAGAAGUGGAAAGGAUGAUCAAGUUAAUUUUGAUGAUCUUCUCUUUGUCAAAACUGCAUUUUCUAUAAGUCAAGAAUCAUAUUUUACUUAGAACCUUUACCUAAUGUUAAAACUGCAUUUUCUAUAUUGUCUAGAGAAGCAUCUCUUCAAAGAAAUGGUUCUUUGUCUUCUAUUCAGUCAUCUCUACUUUCAUCUAAGUCUCAGUCUACUGCUUUCAAUAGUAUGUUUAAUAAUAGGUUUAACUCCAAUAGUUCUAAUAAGAAUAAAAAUCAAGUUGUUUAGUGUAAGAAUUGUGGUAUUAAAGAUCAUUCAAUUGAAAAAUGUUACAAGAUAAUAGGAUAUCCAAAAGACUUUCAGCAAAGAAGCGAGUCAAAUAAUCAAAAAACCUUCUAUGUUAACUCUGUUACCACUUCUUCUGGGAGCUCUAAUGCUCCUAACUUAACUGAUUCUGUUGGAGAUUCUGAGUUUCAUCAGGUUACUAAGGAACAGUACAUCAAGUUUUUACAACUUAUAAAUGAUAAGCAACUUAAUGAGGAAGCAUCUGCUAGUGCUAAUAUGACAGGUCUAGCAUUCCCUCCGCUUUAAAUCUGUCCUUAUUGUCAGGGUUUUUCUGAUAUUAUCCCAAUAUCAACACUCUUAUGGAAGAUGAACUUUCUUAAUUGUAUUGCUGCAUAUGCUAAUUUUCUAAGGUACAAAACCAAACUUCACUUUGCUUAUUAGUUUGUUUUUUUAAUUAAUUAAUUAAUUUAUUUAUUUAGCAAAAUGUCUGAUAGAGUAUUAAUGAUAACUGGAGCAGUCAAGUGUUUCUAGCAAUUUGAAAAAAAAAAAGCCAAAUGAGCAU
Long non-coding RNA from Lactuca sativa (garden lettuce), 2380 nucleotides. RefSeq lists it as uncharacterized. Lineage: Eukaryota; Viridiplantae; Streptophyta; Magnoliopsida; Asterales; Asteraceae. The record is from RefSeq and is a predicted model, not a curated record.